Molecule: long non-coding RNA, 880 nt
Filed under: Fukomys damarensis (Damara mole-rat)
Lineage: Eukaryota; Metazoa; Chordata; Mammalia; Rodentia; Bathyergidae
Description: lncRNA (ENSFDAG00000024958.1)
Source: RNAcentral
UCUUCCCCCUAGGAAAUUUCCAUUGCAACUAAGUGAAAUUGCUAGAAAGGCUGGGCCGGCCUGGCGGCCUCUCCCUGGGGUCCAGCUUUUCCUGACUCAGCGCCCUUGCGGCCAAGGAGAAGGAGAUGGGAAAAGACUCCGCAGGUAGAUGUAGCGAGCAGAAAUGGGUCGCCGCCAAUAACAUUCCACCCGGACUAGGAGCGGGGAGUAUGGACGUGUCUCAAGUGACCGCUAUUCAUGCUGAACUCUGUCAACCAGACAUGCUGUGGCUUCAGAGUGGAGCCUGUGACUGCUUUAUGAGUUUGAAAGAAAAAUUUAGACUCUAUGCAGAAAAUGCCUUUAAAGUGAGACUUAGUAUCAGAACAGCUCUUGGAGAUAAAGCAUAUGUCUGGGAUACAAACGAAGAAUAUCUCUUCAGAGCAAUGGUGGCUUUCUCCAUGAGAAAAGUUCCCAACAGAGAAGCAACAGAGUAAGCAGUGAAAAAUUUUAACCGAUUGUUUGCAAUAUUAUUUGAAACAGUGCGUUAUUUCAAACCUUGAUCUUGAAAAUCAUUUAUUCAUCACUUUUUAGGAGACUCACAUUUUUAUGUAAUAUUCAAAAGAACUUUCGUAAUGGAGCUCAGCUUAUAGCUUGUAUGAUAUCAUGUACAGAAAUUCCCUUUGCUCGGUGGGUGAUAGGAAGAGAAAUAAACUCCCUAUUUCAGUAAUUUGUCUUCAGCUUUCUUCAUUUCUAUUUUUUAUGUAUUUUUCUUGUAGAGAGAGAUAGUGAAGAACUCCAUUCUCAUUUUGUUGUUGUUGUUGUUUUUUUGUUUUCUUUUGUUUUUGGUAACGGGGAUUGAACUCCGGUCCUUGAGCUUGCAAGAUAGGCCACCGAACUGCUG